Molecule: transfer RNA, 87 nt
Filed under: Nocardia cyriacigeorgica
Lineage: Bacteria; Bacillati; Actinomycetota; Actinomycetes; Mycobacteriales; Nocardiaceae
Description: tRNA-OTHER
Source: RNAcentral
UCGGCGGGUGGUCGAGCUGGCGGAGACCAUUUCGAACAUAAGGUUCUGAGUCAGACCAGGCGCUGGUUCGAGCCCGCGUUCGCCGAC